Molecule: ribosomal RNA, 571 nt
Filed under: Variovorax sp. enrichment culture
Lineage: Bacteria; Pseudomonadati; Pseudomonadota; Betaproteobacteria; Burkholderiales; Comamonadaceae
Description: bacterial SSU rRNA
Rfam family: Bacterial small subunit ribosomal RNA
Source: RNAcentral
UUGAACGCUGGCGGCAUGCCUUACACAUGCAAGUCGAACGGCAGCGCGGGAGCAAUCCUGGCGGCGAGUGGCGAACGGGUGAGUAAUACAUCGGAACGUGCCCAAUCGUGGGGGAUAACGCAGCGAAAGCUGUGCUAAUACCGCAUACGAUCUACGGAUGAAAGCAGGGGAUCGCAAGACCUUGCGCGAAUGGAGCGGCCGAUGGCAGAUUAGGUAGUUGGUGAGGUAAAGGCUCACCAAGCCUUCGAUCUGUAGCUGGUCUGAGAGGACGACCAGCCACACUGGGACUGAGACACGGCCCAGACUCCUACGGGAGGCAGCAGUGGGGAAUUUUGGACAAUGGGCGCAAGCCUGGUCCAGCCAUGCCGCGUGCAGGAUGAAGGCCUUCGGGUUGUAAACUGCUUUUGUACGGAACGAAACGGUCUUUUCUAAUAAAGAAGGCUAAUGACGGUACCGUAAGAAUAAGCACCGGCUAACUACGUGCCAGCAGCCGCGGUAAUACGUAGGGUGCAAGCGUUAAUCGGAAUUACUGGGCGUAAAGCGUGCGCAGGCGGUAAUGUAAGACAGUUGU